AGAUAUUUAUAUUAUUAAUAGGAAAGUCAUAAAUAUAUAAAUUAUAUUAUAUAAUUAAUAUAAUAAUAAAAUAAAUUAUAUAUUUUAUUUAUAAUAUUAUUUCUUUAUAAGAUAAAUAUUAUCUAAUUAAUAAUUAGAUUGAAUAAUAUUUAUAAAGAAAUAUAUAUAUAUAUAAAAAAUCAUUAUAUAAAUUUAAUUAUAAUUUAAAUAAAUUUUAUAUAAAUUAAUAUAAUAUUAAUAAAGUAAUUAGUAUAAAUAAAUAAUAUGAAAAUAAAACUUAAUAAAUAUAUAAAUAUAGUCCAUAUAUAUAUAUUAAUAAAAAGUAAUAUAUAUAUAUAUAUUGGAAUAGUUAUAUUAUUAUACAGAAAUAUGCUUAAUUAUAAUAUAAUAUCCU
Molecule: non-coding RNA, 394 nt
Filed under: Saccharomyces cerevisiae YJM456
Lineage: Eukaryota; Fungi; Ascomycota; Saccharomycetes; Saccharomycetales; Saccharomycetaceae
Also listed under: 1 other name
Source: RNAcentral